This 1184-nucleotide long non-coding RNA is filed under the name Equus caballus (horse). RNAcentral's name for it is "lncRNA (ENSECAG00000058504.1)". Lineage: Eukaryota; Metazoa; Chordata; Mammalia; Perissodactyla; Equidae. The record is from RNAcentral.
UUUCAGCAAGCUGUGAGUCACGUGGCAGCCACGCCUGUACAGCAUAUCACACAUGCGUGACCAGAUGUCUGCCACACAUGGAUCAUGUGCAAUGAAUGCGUGAGUCACGUGUCAGCCAUGACUGAGACAUUUGUCAGCCACACCAGAGCCAUGUUUCACCCAUGCUGGAGUCAGAUUUCGGCCACACCAGAACCACCUGCCACCCAUGCAUGCACCAUGCAUCAGCCACCCCUUAAGCACACGAAGGCCAUGCAUGAACCAUGUGUGAACCACACCUGCAUGAUGUGUCAGGCACGCCUGUGUCACGUUUCCACCUCACCUGAGUCAUGUGUCAGCCAUGCCUGAACAACGUGUGAACCACACCUGUGUCAAGGCUCAGCCACGCCAAGUCACGUGCCAGCCAGGCCUGCACCAAGUGCCAGUCACAGUUGAACCACAGGUCAGCCUCACUUGAAGCACGUGUCAGCCACACUGGCACAACUUGACUGGCAUGCCUGAACCAUGUGCCAACCAUGCCACAAACACGUGAUCCAUGCCUGAGCAACACCACAGCCUGCAUGAGCCACACCGAAGGCAUGUGUGAGCCAAGCAUCACAUAAUCAUGAAUCACGUGUCAACCACAAGGGAGCCAGUGCUGUGGCACGCCUGCAUCAUGUGAGAGCCAUGGCUGAGCUAUGCCUGAACCACGGAUGAAAGUUUCCUCUACGAUACGUGACCCACACGAGUACUGUGUGAGCCACAGCUGAAUUACACCCCAACCAUGUGUGAGCCAUGUGUGAACCACAUGUGAGACACCCUUGAAGCACAUCUGAACCACCUGUGAAACACACAUGAUCGAUGCUUGAAUCGCACAUGACCCACAAGGGAGCCACACAUGAAACACUGCUGAGCCAUGCAUGAGCCACGUGCCAACCAUGACUACGUAUGCGGGAGCCAUGUUUCAGCAAGCUGUGAGUCACGUGGCAGCCACACUUCUACGGCAUGUCACACACGUGUGACCACAAGUUUGCCAUGCAUGUAUCCUGUGUGAUGCAUCCCUGAGUCACGUGUCAGCCAUGCCUGAGACAUGUGUGAGCCACACCAAAGUCAUGUUUCACACAUGCCUGAGUCACAUGUCAGCCAUGCCGGAACCACCUGCCACACAUGCCUCAACCCUGCAGCAGCCACCAUUGAACCACAUGAAG